RNAcentral lists this long non-coding RNA (432 nucleotides) under Lathyrus oleraceus (garden pea). RNAcentral's name for it is "Pisum sativum (pea) long non-coding RNA (PSAT_LNC005172)". The record is from RNAcentral. Lineage: Eukaryota; Viridiplantae; Streptophyta; Magnoliopsida; Fabales; Fabaceae.
UUUAAAUUUUUUUGAGUUACACGCUUGAAGAAGAUAUGAAGAAUUAAAUAGAUGAAGAGCAGAAUGCAAGAGAGUGAUAAUUGGUGAGGAAGAAGGGAGAAAGAGCGCCUGCAUUUAUAGGCGAGCUCUCUGGAAUUCGUGACGGUCGUCACGUUUGUGAGACGGACGUCACCCUAUAGGGACGGUCGUCACACGCUGAAUUUCAAAAAGUUUCUCUAACACUGGUUGCAGCAGAGUUAACAGCAUAAAUGAUAGCUAAGCAAUUUUAAUUUUUGACAGCAUAAGUGCAGAAAUAAAUAAAUAGAUGAAAUAAGCGUAGUUAAAUGAAUAGCAAUUGAAUUAAUAAAUUAAAAUUAAAUGUAACAUAGGAUAAAAAAUAGUGACGAUAACAUAGCAAACAAAAGUAAUUAAAUAAUUAAACAAAAAUGAUGG